This 241-nucleotide long non-coding RNA is filed under the name Coturnix japonica (Japanese quail). RNAcentral's name for it is "lncRNA (ENSCJPG00005001229.1)". The record is from RNAcentral. Lineage: Eukaryota; Metazoa; Chordata; Aves; Galliformes; Phasianidae.
AUGUUUGGAGGAAUCAAAGAGCAGCAGCUGUUGGGGGCUUCUGUAAGGGAUUGCCAAGGAGGUGAGGUAAUUUUGAUACACCUGAUGUGGGAAGAACUACAAUGGAGACUCCAGAACAGAAGUUAGUUUUGAAGAAGUGGGCAGCUGCUAAGAAGAGGCCAGUAUUUUGGGAGAAAGAAGAGAGGGAAAGAGAACCAAAAGAAAUAAUUAAAAUUAAAAAAUAAAAUAAAAUUAAAAAAAU